This is a long non-coding RNA of Capsicum annuum, 2372 nucleotides long. RefSeq lists it as uncharacterized. The transcript has 2 exons. Lineage: Eukaryota; Viridiplantae; Streptophyta; Magnoliopsida; Solanales; Solanaceae. The record is from RefSeq and is a predicted model, not a curated record.
UCUACCAAACGACCCCUACGUCUCCUCUCCAGAUUGGCAUUUGUUGUUGCACCCAUUUGUACGUGGCAUUUGUUCUUGACCCCACCUUUCUCCCGAAACCCAUCACGUUCGUCAUAAUCUGUUCACCAUGCUCUUUGUAAGCUUUGACCUACGUCUGUUGUUAUCAUGUGCGACUCGGUUGAAAUUCAUCUACGGUAGAUAUACUUGAAAUCUUUUUACGCUAAUGAUAAGUGUUUGAGACCUUCAAUCAUGGCCAGAUUUCUUUUUUGAUGUUGAUGAAGUUUCAAGAAUAUCAAAAGUUGCCAUGAACUACUUCAUGUUGUUGAAUUUGGGUGAGUCAAGAGUUGCCCAAGAAGAAGGUAAAAUUCUGUACUCUUUUUUUUCAAGUUUGGUGGUUGGGUUAAGUGAAUGGUGCAUAAAAAGGUAUAUGUGAUUUUUUUAGAAAGUCAAAUUUUGUGCAAGAAAUCAAGAAUUCUGAUAUACUGAAGUUGUUUCUUUUUCUUCCUCCUGUUCAGCAAAGUUUCUUGAGGAAAGAUCAAUUAUUUGAGUUUUUAUUAGAGGUAAAGUGAGGAGUAGAAAGGUUCUGUUCAGUUAGAUUUUUUGUAUGGUAGAAAAAUGGAGCAUGCUCUCCACUUUUUGCAUGAUUUUUUGUUAGGUUUGUUGGGCCUAUUUUUUUCUUCUUUUUGUAAUUAGUUUGGGCAGUGGCACUUUUAAUCUUGUUGUGCAAGUGAUUGGUUUGAGCAGUGGCACUGUUAAUUUUGUUGUGAAGUGAUUCUAACCUCCUGACUAGCUUUAGAGCACACGGCAAUUGGUACUACUUCGCUAUCGGUCACUAUUAACGACGAUUCAGCUUGUGUUCAUCGAAUUGACUCCACUCCAGAGAACAAAAUCAAAGAAGGAGCUCCCUCAACUAUUGUUGAAGCCAUCUGACAACGUCACAAGAGCAUAAACAACAGGUAUCUACAGUAUUAGGUAUAUUUUUGUCAAUUGAGAUACUUUUUUUCAACAUGAUGAUUUAGUUCAAUUCAUGUUUACGAUUGAAAUUUGUUUCAUUCAUUCUUCAAUAUUUGAUCUUUUUCAUGAAAAAAAUAAAUUUUCCUUGUUCUAUAUUAGAAUGAGUGUGAUGAUGGUAUCGACAAUGAGUGUGGUAGUAAUCGUCCUUCAAUCUUAGAAGAAUGAGUAUGAUGAUGGUAUCAACAAUGAGUAUGGUAGUAAUCGUCCUUCAAUCUGAUUAAUUCAUACGUGAUAUUUUUUUCAAUGAAACCAACACAGUUUUCUUUCAUCGCUAUUGCUUCUUCUAUCGAAGGUUUAGAGCUGAAAAUUUAAGUAAAUUAAAGUUGCCAAGGAUAUAGAAGUAGUAAAGAAAAAGUUAGAUCAAGUGUCUGCUAUCUAUCAAUAUAAAUUCUGCAUCCCAAGUCAUUUGCUGUUUAACUUUAAGUCAUGAAUAACUUUAAGCACAAUAAAAGGGGAUGUAUUAUGCUUUUAACUCUCCCACGGUUUAGGCUCAACUAAUCAAACUUAGUUCGUGCUUUGAAGAAUUCUGUGUUUAUAGUUGAAUGAUUAUGUACUUAAAUCAAAUUUCAUCUUGAUUUUCAAUAUUAUGUACUUGGAGAAAAUAUUGACUUGAUAGUAUCUAUCGUUGCACUACUUGAUUGGCAAACCGAUUUGUAAAAAAAAGAUUUAUAAACACUUCUCAAAAAGGGCAGGUGUGAGGAUAAUUUAAGCUAGAUAGUGGACUAAUAUUCACUAUAACACUAUCUAAUCUUUGAAGGUUCAUAGUGUACCGUAAACUCCAUUCCACAUAUUUUGGUACAUGUAUCUGUCAUAUUUCAUUUCAACUCUCCUUUUCUAAACAAUAAGUCAAGAACCAUCAUGGUCACAUGUUCUCAUGAGAAAUGUGGCCAACAGAUUCACCAUUUUCCUUUCUCUUUAUUUUUGUGAGGACAGAGGUUGUGAUGAUUACAAUAGGUGUUGCAGCUCUAAAUACAAAAGUAUAUUUUCAAUGGAGUUGCAUCGUACAGUAAGUUUUUCAUAAAUUUCGGUAAUUAUAAAUCAUAUCCUUCAUUGUUUUUUCCUUUGUGUUUUGGCUAUUUGGGUGUUGGAUUUGGUAUUUUAGGUUUGAUGUUUGCAGCCCUAUGUGAUAUGAACCAUCUGUUCACUCUUGAAACACUUGAUUGGUAUUCAAACGAAAAGCACUUCUGAUGGAGGUCAGCAAAAAUAUGAAGAUGCGGAUGUUUACAGCAAUGAAUUUUUUAUAUAUUCUAUUUGGCUAUUAAUGUGCCACGUGAUUUCUUAAUUUCAUAAAUAGUGAAAUGAACAAUUUGAAUUGUGUUGGAUUUGAUUUUGCAAGUGCUUUAGAUGGAAAGCAAAAA